This is a long non-coding RNA of Gallus gallus (chicken), 3828 nucleotides long. Lineage: Eukaryota; Metazoa; Chordata; Aves; Galliformes; Phasianidae. The record is from Ensembl.
AUUCUUCACCUGAUCUCUGCUGAACCCACGGGUUUCUUCAGGAGACAGCAGCGCUUCCAUAAUUUACAACUGAGCACUCAGAGCAUCUGAUUCUGAUUUUCCCCACUGACGAGACCCCCGAUACUGAACUUAUUCUUGUGCAAAAGGUGCAAUAAGGACACCUUUCUUCGCUGAAGGAAGCUGAAGUGAGUGUUGAUGGAAAUACUGCUGAUAAAAAUGUGUAUUGAAAAUAGACAAGCGGAUGUUAAGUACAAAAAAGAAGAUACUUGGAUUUGAUGGCUGAGCAUGAAUGGCUGCAUACAGUUUUUUUUUUCAGGAGAAAGAACAGUCCAACUAGACAAGAGAACAAAGAAAAGUGGUCCCUGGGAUAAGUGAUCUUUUCCAAAGAGAAUUGACAUCUAUAGUGUUACCCCAGGCAUGUCCAACCUGUGGCGUAGCAGAGCUCACACUGCAACUGCCCCCUACUCUGCAUUGUAAAGGGAGAAGCUCUUUCCCACCGAGCAGCCCAGCCUGGCCCUGGACAUACACUCAUUGUUCAUGAUCUUCUCAUACCCUGGUAAGGAAAAGCAGCAAAAACAGAAGUCUUGCAAAUGCCUACAGCCAUGGUGACAAACUUAUGAAAACCAUCCAGAAAAGGAAAACAGAAAAUUCUUUGGCAACUCUCAUCAUUACAGUUCUAGUCUGCAUUAAACACCACAUAUUUUUGGAUAUAUGGAAGAGAGAAAGGUAGUAGCAGCUGAAAUGGUCAAAGCAGACCUCUGAGGAGAUGAUACUCAUCACAUGUCACUAUGACCUACAUCUUUGUCAACGCUGGAGAAAUGCGUUUACAAUUUUGCUAUGUGGAAUGUACAUUGAGAUGAAGAGAUAAAUGAGGAUGUAUUUAUGACAGUUUCUAACCUUUCUACUUUUCCAGACACAGAAAAGCAAUGUGAAUGCACCAUUUCAAUAAUCCCACAGUGUUCACAGAUUCAAUCAUUUGUAAAGUAUGAGUUGUGUAGCAGACAACCACCACUUCGGCACGUCACAUGGCUCACUGGCUACAGACAGCUGCUUUCCCUGUGUGUUUUCAAUAGAUUUCCUCUACUACACCUCCUGAAGUUACUUGAAAGAAUUUAAUAUUCUUACUUCCUCCUAGGUAAAUCACUUCUGUGUUUUUCCUCCUGGAGUUUAUUGUCUUUCUCUGCAUUGUGUUUAGAUCGAGGUCAAUGGUCCUGGGUUCUGUUUCCUCCCUAACAACCUCAGCCCCCCAUCUCCUUUCCAGUCAGGAAAACCCGUGUGAUGGUCAGCAGCAAUGUGAAGUGCAGAGAUUUCCUCAGUGCCUUCCCGCAGAGCCUGAGUCAGCAGUGCUCCUCAUGAGCCUCAGUGACCCAGCUCCCCAGCACCCUGGGGAAUACAGCUUUGUGCCUGCAGUCUCCUUCCAGAGAAAUCCAGUAAUUUCCAGUCCAAUUCUUAACAGAGCAUUAAGCACUAUUCUGGCAAAUCUGCUUCAUGUCUUAAACUGAGUUUCUGUCAAACUAUUGAAGUACUAUACAUAAAUGUUCAUAAGCCUAACCUUAGCUGAACGUCAAUCCAGACUGCAAUCAAAAUAUAAUUUUACAUUCAUUUAAUAAGUUAUUUGCUUUAAUGUUUUUGCUUGAUCAUCUCUCUAAACAAGUUUGGGUUGGCCCACUUUUCAAAAUAGUUUCUGUCAUCAAAAUAUGUCAUUCUCAUGCAGUUUUAAAAUAGUACUCCCUCCUUACCGUGCACAUAAAAUACUGCUCUAGAAGUAGGAAGAUUUAUUUUACAACUGCAAAUCUAAGCUUUCAAAACUGAGCAUUGAUUCUGAUUUCUGAUUAUCCAGUAUGAGCCAGUUUGCAGCUUCCAAAAAGUGGGCAUUCAGUUCUCUGAUAUCCUAUAGAGUUAUUGCAUCAGUAGUAUAUGAGCUUUGAUCAAUGGAAAUUUCUGAGUAUAAAAUCCACCCUGAAGCUGUUGCUUAAUGGACUUCAUUCUGAAAAUAAUUUAUUUCUGCAUUUCCUGGAGCUGUUUUUAAAAAGAUUUUUAUUUGUUUAUUGUGAUUUUUUUUUCUUUUUCCUAUUAUAAAACUUACUCCACAUCCCAGAUUAGAUUAAAAAAAAUGCCCCACAAGACAAAGUACACUCUCAUUAUCAGGCAGGGAGAUAUUAGUAGCUUCAGCUGUCCUUAGUAAAAAGUAAAGAGAAAUAAAAGGGUAGUGGCAGAAGGUAACUUUUAGUCAGCCUGAAAGCUCUACCCAAGACACUCAGGCCACAGCAAUCUCCUGCCUCUGAGGAUUCCUGAAGUUCAAGAUAUUUAAUGGUCCAUUUGUGAUAGAAAGGAAAGUCUGAGAUGCAGCGUAUGUCUGUACUAAAAAGCACACAAUUAAAGAACCAUUUCAGGCACCCCUGUGGAAAGCAUGAGAUGUGAAUAUUUCUCAAACAUAAGAACAAGACUGGUUGACAAGACAAGUGAAAUGUGGACAACUGCUGCAAGAGGUAGACAAUUCUCAUGCAGAGCUGAUCAGUGGAGAAUGUCUCUUUCCUUCUCCUCCUAGCACAACUUCUGCUGAAACAGACAAGAACAUCCUAGCUUCAAAGCUCCACUUCUAUUUACAGCCAUGUAAUUUACUCUGGAGCAGACAACCAAAAGGUAAACCAUUACCUGAGGAUACCUGCCUUCAAUUUCCUCAGUUAUGAUCGCAUCUUCAGUGGAACCGUCAUAUGGGAACAUUAUCCUACAGGGAACCUGCUUUAAGAGGGGGCCAUACAGUCUCAGCCCAGGUAGCAACUCCUGUGCCAUAGAGAAGAAGCUACAUCCCUGGCAAUGGGAUUUCCAGCAGCCAGAGGCCUCAGACAGUACACCCCUGCUGAAUAAAAUACCAAACAGAGAAACACACCUAGAAUCCCUCCUUUCUUUAAAGUGCAGAGCAUCUUAAAUGCAGCCAGUGCUAAUGUUACCAUUCACCUUAUCUACAGCCCAGAAUACAGAAGGCUUCUGCAGGAAACAGGCAACCAGGCAACAACCAGCUUUGAUAGUUCUUAUCUGAGGUGAAAGAUGUGGCUUUGAUCAUUUGAGUAGGAGCUCCAACACAGCUAACGGUUUCACUAUAAUCACAACCCAGGAUUCUGAACACAAGUGGCUGUAGCUGCUGGCUUCUGUGCUCAACCCACUGCUGCUCCCACAAACAGACCUACCAAACCCAGUCCUUAAGGAAAUGUCAACUCAGAAAGGCAUUUUGUGACUUCUAGUGAUGCUUUAGUGCCAGGACACUCAGUCUUGCCAAAAUGGUAUCACUUCUGAAUAAAGACAGUGCAAUGUAAGGAACUUACUGACGAAACUGUAUGCCUCUCCGGGCUUUCAGAAACCAUCAAGGUUAAAGUUGGCCUUAUGAGCUCCUAACCUAAACUGAAAUGUCAACAUCAGAAUCUCACUUUAGAAACUUGAUCCCUUUGUUUUGACCAGGACAGACAAGUCUGACUAUAGCCAAGAUCUGCACCUGUAUGGAUAGAUUAAACACCACCAAAUGCCUUUCCUGUUCAAAUGGUAGAACAUCACUGACACAGUUUUAGUAUAUACCAGUUAGCAUUCAAGAGAGUGCUAGGUUACAGCUAAUUCCUCACCACAGCUCAGGAGUAAGUAUAGGCCAGAGACUGCUCCCAGAAGUCAGAGGUUUGUCUGGUUUGAGUGUAGGAGAGUCCAGCAGUGUGGACACAGGUAAUUCAGAAAGCUUAAUUCACUAACAUGGCAGCAAGCUCUGGAUACAGAAAUUCUUUAGUGCCUCAGCAUAUUAUCUUCCACCAUUCUUCAAGACAGCAAAGGAAAGAGGAAAAAAAA